UAUGGUGUGUGCCAGCAGCCGCGGUAAUACGUAUGGAGCAAGCGUUAUCCGGAUUUACUGGGUGUAAAGGGUGCGUAGGUGGCAGUGCAAGUCAGAUGUGAAAGGCCGGGGCUCAACCCUGGAGCUGCAUUUGAAACUGCAUAGCUAGAGUACAGGAGAGGCAGGCGGAAUUCCUAGUGUAGCGGUGAAAUGCGUAGAUAUUAGGAGGAACACCAGUGGCGAAGGCGGCCUGCUGGACUGUUACUGACACUGAGGCACGAAAGCGUGGGGAGCAAACAGG
Molecule: ribosomal RNA, 280 nt
Filed under: Anaerobutyricum hallii
Lineage: Bacteria; Bacillati; Bacillota; Clostridia; Lachnospirales; Lachnospiraceae
Description: partial 16S ribosomal RNA
Rfam family: Bacterial small subunit ribosomal RNA
Source: RNAcentral